CUACGGGCCGCACCAGUGAGGAAUAUUGCACAAUGGGGGGAACCCUGAUGCAGCAACGCCGCGUGGAGGAUGACGCAUUUCGGUGUGUAAACUCCUUUUAUAUGUCAAGAAAAUGACGGUAGCAUAUGAAUAAGCACCGGCAACUCCGUGCCAGCAGCCGCGGUAAUACGGAGGGUGCAAGCGUUACUCGGAAUCACUGGGCGUAAAGGACGCGUAGGCGGGUUGGAAAGUCAGGUGUGAAAUCCUACAGCUUAACUGUAGAACUGCACUUGAAACUUCUAAUCUAGAGUAUGGGAGGGGGAGAUGGAAUUAGUGGUGUAGGGGUAACAUCCGUAGAUAUCACUAGGAAUACCUAAAGCGAAGGCGAUCUCCUGGAACAUUACUGACGCUAAGGCGUGAAAGCGUGGGGAGCAAACAGGAUUAGAUACCCCAGUAGUC
This 438-nucleotide ribosomal RNA is filed under the name uncultured bacterium. RNAcentral's name for it is "partial 16S ribosomal RNA". It matches the Rfam family "Bacterial small subunit ribosomal RNA", at positions 339 to 795 of the family's 1533-position model. The record is from RNAcentral.